This 497-nucleotide ribosomal RNA is filed under the name uncultured bacterium. RNAcentral describes it as "partial 16S ribosomal RNA". It matches the Rfam family "Bacterial small subunit ribosomal RNA", at positions 28 to 507 of the family's 1533-position model. The record is from RNAcentral.
GAUGAACGCUGGCGGCGUGCCUAAUACAUGCAAGUCGAGCGAACAGACGAGGAGCUUGCUCCUCUGACGUUAGCGGCGGACGGGUGAGUAACACGUGGAUAACCUACCUAUAAGACUGGGAUAACUUCGGGAAACCGGAGCUAAUACCGGAUAAUAUAUUGAACCGCAUGGUUCAAUAGUGAAAGACGGUUUUGCUGUCACUUAUAGAUGGAUCUGGGCCGCAUUAGCUAGUUGGUAAGGUAACGGCUUACCAAGGCAACGAUGCGUAGCCGACCUGAGAGGGUGAUAGGCCACACUGGAACUGGGACACGGUCCAGAGUACUAAGGGAGGCAGCAGUAGGGAAUCUUCCGCAAUAGGCGAAAGCCUGACGGAGCAACGCCGCGUGAGUGAUGGAGGUCUUCGGAUCGUAAAACUCUGUUAUUAGGGAAGAACAAAUGUGUAAGUAAAUAUGCACGUCUUGACGGUACCUAAUCAGAAAGCCACGGCUAACUACGUG